This 445-nucleotide ribosomal RNA is filed under the name uncultured bacterium. RNAcentral describes it as "bacterial SSU rRNA". It matches the Rfam family "Bacterial small subunit ribosomal RNA", at positions 354 to 796 of the family's 1533-position model. The record is from RNAcentral.
GUGAGGAAUAUUGGUCAAUGGACGCAAGUCUGAACCAGCCAUGCCGCGUGCAGGAAGAAGGUUCUAUGGAUUGUAAACUGCUUUUGUACAGGAAGAAAUUAUCCCUCGUGAGGGAGCUUGACAGUACUGUAAGAAUAAGCACCGGCUAACUCCGUGCCAGCAGCCGCGGUAAUACGGAGGGUGCGAGCGUUGUCCGGAUUUAUUGGGUUUAAAGGGUGCGUAGGCUGGAAGGUCAGUCAGCGGUGAAAAGCUGUCGCUUAACGAUAGUCUUGCCGCAGAUACUUCCUUUCUUGGAUGAGGAGGAGGCCACUGGAACGGAUGGUGUAGCGGUGAAAUGCAUAGAUAUCAUCCAGAACACCGAUUGCGAAGGCAGGUGGCUGUACCUUAAUCGACGCUGAUGCACGAAAGCAUGGGGAGCAAACAGGAUUAGAUACCCGAGUAGUCC